This 461-nucleotide ribosomal RNA is filed under the name uncultured bacterium. RNAcentral's name for it is "bacterial SSU rRNA". It matches the Rfam family "Bacterial small subunit ribosomal RNA", at positions 29 to 524 of the family's 1533-position model. The record is from RNAcentral.
AACGAACGCUGGCGGCAUGCCUAACACAUGCAAGUCGAACGGGAUCCAGGCUUCGGCCAGGUGAGAGUGGCGGACGGGUGAGUAACACGUGGGAACCUGCCUUUUGGUUCGGGAUAACCGCGGGAAACUGCGGCUAAUACCGGGUGCUCCCGAGAGGGGAAAGAUUUAUCGCCAGAAGAGGGGCCCGCGUCCGAUUAGGUAGUUGGUGAGGUAAUGGCUCACCAAGCCGACGAUCGGUAGCUGGGUCUGAGAGGAUGAUCAGCCACACUGGGACUGAGAUACGGCCCAGACUCCUACGGGAGGCAGCAGUGGGGAAUAUUGGACAAUGGGGGCAACCCUGAUCCAGCAAUGCCGCGUGAGUGAUGAAGGCCUUAGGGUUGUAAAGCUCUUUUGCCAGGGAAGAUGAUGACUGUACCUGGAGAAUAAGCCCCGGCUAACUUCGUGCCAGCAGCCGCGGUAAU